RNAcentral lists this ribosomal RNA (496 nucleotides) under uncultured bacterium. Its description in RNAcentral is "partial 16S ribosomal RNA". It matches the Rfam family "Bacterial small subunit ribosomal RNA", at positions 29 to 507 of the family's 1533-position model. The record is from RNAcentral.
AUGAACGCUGGCGGCGUGCCUAAUACAUGCAAGUCGAGCGAACAGACGAGGAGCUUGCUCCUCUGACGUUCGCGGCGGACGGGUGAGUAACACGUGGAUAACCUACCUAUAAGACUGGGAUAACUUCGGGAAACCGGAGCUAAUACCGGAUAAUAUAUUGAACCGCAUGGUUCAAUAGUGAAAGACGGUUUUGCUGUCACUUAUAGAUGGAUCCGCGCCGCAUUAGCUAGUUGGUAAGGUAACGGCUUACCAAGGCAACGAUGCGUAGCCGACCUGAGAGGGUGCUCGGCCACACUGGAACUGAGACACGGUCCAGACUCCUACGGGAGGCAGCAGUAGGGAAUCUUCCGCAAUGGGCGACAGCCUGACGGAGCAACGCCGCGUGAGUGAUGAAGGUCUUCGGAUCGUAAAACUCUGUUAUUAGGGAAGAACAAAUGUGUAAGUAACUAUGCACGUCUUGACGGUACCUAAUCAGAAAGCCACGGCUAACUACGUG